This 804-nucleotide unclassified non-coding RNA is filed under the name uncultured fungus. Its description in RNAcentral is "sequence contains 18S rRNA gene, ITS1, 5.8S rRNA gene, ITS2, 28S rRNA gene". Lineage: Eukaryota; Fungi. The record is from RNAcentral.
CGGUAGUCGGGUCGAUGGUUGCGCCGGCUGGAGCGCCCGACAGACUGAACGUGAGUGUCUGCGGCGGGGAAUCAGGAUCGCUUGCCGUCGCUGUGAACACGAGAGUCCUGUUUUCCUCGAUCGAUCGAGGGCCGAUGGGAGCGAGCACCGGCGGAUUGUUGGGAGCAACGAGCGGCGCCGAAAACUCUGAUGUGUUGAGGGCUACGUCGGUUGCAGUGGCCGUGAUGAACCUUCCUGCCGGCACGACGCCGUCCACGAAGGAAAACAUCGCAUCGCCGGCGGCAUCCGUCGUAAUAUCGAUGAAGCCGAUGAAGGUCUGUCCUUCACCGAAGCCGCUUGGGUCCGGCGCGGCGCUCGUGAAAAAUUCGAUGCGCAGCACGGCGCCGGCGGCGCCGUUAAACUCGCCAUCGAUUUGAAGGCCGGAGCUGGUUACGGUGGCGCCUGUAAGGACAGGGAAGUUCUGCAAGUUGUUGGGGCCCGCAUCGGCGUCGCCGGCGCCGUCAUUGACGGUGACGCCGUCGUCGCCGAGGUCGAUGCCCAGUCCGCCAUUACUGAAGAUUGAAUUGCCAAGGAUGGCGUGCCCAUCGCCAGUGUUGACAUUCACGCCGGCGGCCGCGUUGAAGGCGAUAAUGUUGCCUUCACCCAAAUUUGUGCCGCCGAUACUGGUGACGUCCGUCGUGACGCCGGGGUUGCCGAUGAUGGCAAUGCCGCGCCCGAGAUUGCCCAAGGGGUUUCCAGUUAGCCCUGUGCCAAUGACAUUGCCCUGGAUGGUAUUCGCUAAGUUCUGGACCAGGAUGCCGUCGC